UGACCUCGGAUCAGGUAGGGAUACCCGUGACUUAAGCAUA
This 40-nucleotide ribosomal RNA is filed under the name Alternaria atra. RNAcentral describes it as "partial 28S ribosomal RNA". RNAcentral also lists the same sequence under 1 other name. Lineage: Eukaryota; Fungi; Ascomycota; Dothideomycetes; Pleosporales; Pleosporaceae. The record is from RNAcentral.